Long non-coding RNA from Heterocephalus glaber (naked mole-rat), 2028 nucleotides. The record is from Ensembl. NCBI's taxonomy places the organism in Eukaryota, Metazoa, Chordata, Mammalia, Rodentia, Bathyergidae.
GCUGUUUCUCCUGCCAAGUGUUUCCUGUAUGACUGGUUUCCAGUCAAGGCUGGACACAGUGGGCAGGAGGCCAGUUUAAGGAGGACUGCUGAAGCCCUGCUGUCAGGCUCAGAAGAGCCCAAGGAACAAGGGACACAGGUGACCUGGAGGACACAGGGUGGCUGCCAGACUGGAAAGGGGACAAGGUUGCACUUAUGGACCACAGAGGCACUGCCAUGCUCUCCCUUCAGUGCCACACUGUCCAUCAGUCCAUCAGUAUUGCCACUUCUCUGAAAUCACAGUUGCGCAUUUCAUCUUCAGGUACCACCAGAAGUCCUCGCCCAAGGCUAGAGGCUCUUCCUGGGCCUGGAAGGGCUACCACCAUUCUUCAUUGGCUGAUGCUCCCAUGUGGCUCAGGGCUCCAGUUGCCUGCUCCAGGGAGCCUUCAAUGACUAUCCUUUAAUGCUCCCACCCACUCCUCAUGUGCAAAGGGUUUAAGCUUAUGAAACACCAAAGCCAAGAAUAAAGUUCUUUGACUGGAAUUUCUCCUUUCCUGUAACACCACCUACAAGAAACUUUUAAUUUGUGUGGGUUAAAGAAGCAUCUUUGAUGAAGUGGAAAAGAGACAGUAUAAUAAAGUUACAAAACACAGUGCAACUGCCACAGCUCAGAGAAAAACACCAGAUUGGGAAUCAGGAGACUGGCCCUGGGAGUAUGGAGGAUCGAACUUGGGACCUUGCGCUUGUGAGGCAGGCACCGGAACCACUGAGCCAAAUCCCUGACCCUUGUUCCUGAUUUUAGAAGGAAAGCUUUCAGUUUUUCCUCCUUUAAUAUGAUGCUGGCAGUAGUUUUCCAUAAAUGAUUUUUAUCAGAUUGAGAGGCCUUUGGAACUCGCUAGCAGGAGGAAUUUGGAAAGAUUUGGAGAUGCUGGCUGGAGAAGCAUCCCUGAAUACUGUAAGCUGAAUUUGGUGGGACAUUCUGGUUAGUGCUCAGAAGACCAGCAUGCUGACAGAAAUACAGCUGGUAAAGACCAGGAUCAGGAGGUUUCAGUUGGGAACAAGGAGUGCAUUGGCAGUUGGACUCUAGGCCAUGUGUGUUAUGCUUUGGCAGAAAAUGUGCCUACAUUUUGCUCGUGUCGUGAGACUUUGCCAGAGACUGAGAUUAAGCAUGGCUGACUAAUUAAUCUGGUGGAGGAAAUGUCAAGGCAGCCAAACACUCAGGCUGUAACUUGGGUACUAUUGGGGAUUUUAGCCAGCUCUAACUUGAGAAUCAAGAGCUAAAAGCACAGCUGAAUGAUUUUAAAAGUUUUGAGUUGGGCCAGAAAGGAAGCUCCUAUAAAGAUGGAGCCUGCAAAGAUGAAGUAGAUAAAAGCUUGAUUGCUAAAAAGAUUAGCAUUAAAAGAACCCAUGAAGGGGAAGUGAGAGGGGUAGGGGAAAGGAAAGAAGGGAAUGGAAUAAAUAUUUGAAAAGGAAAAAAUGGAAACAAAGUCUUUGUAAAUAGGGAGGGGUAGAGGGGGUUGAAGGGAGGGCAGAGGAAUGGGGAAAAAAAUGAGAACCAAGAUACAUCAUGUAAAGGUACAAAUAAUCCCAAUAAUGAAUGUCAGCAUAUUGUAUACCUAAAAUGUACCAAUAAAAUGAAUGAAUAAUAAAAAAGAAAGAACCCAUGAACUUGGGAUCUGGACAAUACAACGAUGCCUUGAAGGCAUGGGAAGAAUCUCAAAAAAAUCCACCCUUUGCAGGCUCAAAACUGCAAAGGUUAAAGAUAGUGCUUUGAAAAGAAAGCCCCAAAGCACUCUGUCGGAGAAGGACCACCUAGGCAAUUGAUUCCCCAUGAUUCAGUUUACUGCGCACAGCCAGCCAGCCAGGAACUUGGGAGGCCUCUGCAACCACCAGCAAGAUGCAAAAGGGCUCAUCUAUGACUCCAGAUGGCAGCAGACCUUGGCAUCAUCCACAUUCAGAAUGCAAGAGUUGUGGUGACAGGGAGGCUUCCACCCAGAUAUCAGAAGAAGGCCAGGGAGUCCAGGCAAUAAGCCCCUGAGAGGUCAGUGUG